Molecule: transfer RNA, 71 nt
Filed under: Marmota marmota marmota (Alpine marmot)
Lineage: Eukaryota; Metazoa; Chordata; Mammalia; Rodentia; Sciuridae
Also listed under: 1 other name
Rfam family: tRNA
About the family: Transfer RNA (tRNA) molecules are approximately 80 nucleotides in length.
Source: Rfam by way of RNAcentral
GGGGUUGUGGCUCAGUGGCAGAGCACUUGCCUAGCAUGUAUGAGGCACUGGGUUCGAUCCUCAGCACCUCA